Molecule: long non-coding RNA, 1308 nt
Organism: Oncorhynchus keta (chum salmon)
Lineage: Eukaryota; Metazoa; Chordata; Actinopteri; Salmoniformes; Salmonidae
Exons: 5
Source: RefSeq, a predicted model, not a curated record
AAGACAUAGACGGCCACCUGUUCUAGUUAGCUAUCUAGCGUGCUCUGAACACCUGUGUGUAAGCGUAACAGGGAGGAAAUGUAGUUGGUCAACUGGAGGACCACACAGCUUGCGGAUCUGUGCACAACUUCUACAGAAAGCAGCAGAACCAAUCCCAGGUGAGGAUCCAGAUGCUCUGACCAUCUGCGUAGGAGACUGAGUGAAACUACAAGUCCAUUAAAGAAAAUGGAACCAGCCAAGAUGGAUGGGACCCUUCCAGGUGACCAUGGCAAAACCAACUGUAAUCCGGGUUGGGAAGAGGUCCGGCUGGCAUCAUCUCUCCCACUGCAAAUAUCUUCCAGAGUGGAAGCCAUGGAUGAGCGACUGGAGGGAGGGAGAGCACGGCCCAGAGAACAUCUGAAGGAGGAAAAAUGUCAGAGCCAAAGGACAGAAGCAGAGGGCCCAGACCAAACGGCCGGAAAGAAAGAUGAAAAAGAAGGCUCUAGCCAACGAGCAGAAGAUGGAGACAUUUGACACUCAGGUUCUAUAACUAGGAAACAGGAGAGACCAAGCUAUCACGUUGUUUCAUUCAGACGACAGCCACAUAGUGGACAUGAAGGCUUGAUGAGGAUGGCGGAGGUGGUCAUGGGACCGCAGACAGCACCAUGAAACGUUCAAAGACCUCAAGCUGCAGCGAAUUAGGGUGUCACCCAUCUUCCCGAUUAUCCCCUGGAUCAACAACAGGAUCUGGCAGUAACCAUGGAGGAACAUCCCCUUUCACCACAGAAGGGCUAACCUCCAAUUCCCUGAAACCACUCAUCAGCAAGCUUUACAACUGUCCAAACAAAACCACUGCCUUGUCUACUAGAAUAUUCCUAACAGUAAUCUAGAACACUAGCAGCCAUUCAACAACCUUUCAACCUAACCGAAUAAGCUAAUGACAACUUUUUACACCAUAUAUCCAAAGGCAUCUCACCUGCCUCCACUAGUAAGGCACAUACAGAUGUUGAUUUAAAGGCACCAAUACAUAUCCUUAAAGCUUUAUGCUGGAUUCUGUCCAAGCUCUGAAGCCAAGUUAAUUUGCUAAAUUGUAAUUACUCCGCUACUAUGGCCCAUUUAUUGCCUUACCUCCUCACACCAUUUGCACACACUGUAUAUAGACUUUGUUUCUAUUGUUUUAGACUGUAUGCUUGUUUAUUCCACGUGUAACUCUGUGUUGUUGUUUGUGUCACACUGCUUUGCUUUAUCUUGGCCAGGUCGCAGUUGUAAAUGAGAACUUGUUCUCAACUAGCCUACCUGGUAAAAUAAAGGUCGAAUAAAAAAAUGAAU